RNAcentral lists this ribosomal RNA (484 nucleotides) under uncultured bacterium. RNAcentral's name for it is "partial 16S ribosomal RNA". It matches the Rfam family "Bacterial small subunit ribosomal RNA", at positions 29 to 507 of the family's 1533-position model. The record is from RNAcentral.
AGUGAACGCUGGCGGCAGGCCUAACACAUGCAAGUCGAGCGGCAGCGCGGGGGCAACCCUGGCGGCGAGCGGCGGACGGGUGAGGAAUUCGUCGUAAUCUGCCUUUUUGUGGGGGAUAACGUAGGGAAACUUACGCUAAUACCGCAUACGUCCUACGGGAGCAAGUGGGGGACCGCAAGGCCUCACGCAGAAAGAUGAGCCGACGACCGAUUAGCUAGUUGGUGGGGUAAAGGCCCACUAAGGCGACGAUCGGUAGCUGGUCUGAGAGGAUGAUCAGCCACACUGGGACUGGGACACGGCCCAGACUCCUACGGGAGGCAGCAGUGGGGAAUAUGGGACAAUGGUCGCAAGCCUGAUCCAGCCAUGCCGCGUGUGUGAAGAAGGCCUUCGGGUUGUAAAGCACUUUUGUCCGGAAAGAAAUCCCUGGAGCUAAUACCUUCGGGGGAUGACGGUACCGGAAGAAUAAGCACCGGCUAACUUCGUG